CAAAAGUCCUAAAAGCCUUACUUUAUAUAUUAAUCAAGUUGAAAGAUACCUUUUAUUUUUCACAAUAUAUAUAUUCUUACAUACUUUAAUUCUGAACAUACAAAAGAUACAGCCUUUUUUAUUUAGCUUUUAUCGAUUCAUAAAUUGACUCAUCAUUUACGACAACAACAACGCACUGACUUAGGAUAAAUUAUAUAGCAGGCACCACCAUAUCUAUAGCCUUUUCCAUAACACUCUUGAUAGCAUUGUAAAUCUGACGUGCAAUCACCCUCUUGACAUUUUAAAUACAAAGGACUAUACUCACCACUUGAU
Molecule: long non-coding RNA, 312 nt
Filed under: Lathyrus oleraceus (garden pea)
Lineage: Eukaryota; Viridiplantae; Streptophyta; Magnoliopsida; Fabales; Fabaceae
Description: Pisum sativum (pea) long non-coding RNA (PSAT_LNC011088)
Source: RNAcentral